UACGUGGGGUGCAAGCGUUGUUCGGAAUUACUGGGCGUAAAGCGUGUGUAGGCGGCUCGCUAAGUCUGGUGUGAAAUCCCCAAGCUUAACUUGGGAACUGCAUCGGAAACUGGCGAGCUCGAGUCCGGGAGAGGGUAGCGGAAUUCCUGGUGUAGAGGUGAAAUUCGUAGAUAUCAGGAGGAACACCGGUGGCGAAGGCGGCUACCUGGACCGGUACUGACGCUGAGACACGAAAGCGUGGGGAGCAAAC
Molecule: ribosomal RNA, 250 nt
Filed under: uncultured bacterium
Lineage: Bacteria
Description: partial 16S ribosomal RNA
Rfam family: Bacterial small subunit ribosomal RNA
Source: RNAcentral